CUUGGUCAUCCCGAAUGCCGCCUAACGGUGUUUGAGUUCAGCGGCAAUACCCGGGCGAACGCCCGGGUAUUGUCCGCUGCAACGAGGGGUUAGGCGUCACGUCACUAUCGUUCCCGCUGGUUCCUGCGUCGACGGCAGGCGCUAGACCUUGUCCGAGCGCCUUGCUUCCAGUUGAGCUCGCCGCAAUGAGCAGCGCAUCAACACCUCGAGCGCCUUCUCAUAUGUGAGCACCGGUGGCCUGUCGGCCAAUGAAUAGACGAGGACUUGGAGAUUGCUGGUGUCGCUGUAGCUGUAGUCGGGAGAAUAUGGGCGUUCACCGGCGAUGUACGAAGCGGCGUCUUGGAAGAAAGCCGAUGGUGUCUCGGUUUCCUGGAGGUCGAACCCGAUGAAUACGAGUGGCGUCAGAACCGGGAUAACUGCGUC
RNAcentral lists this unclassified non-coding RNA (423 nucleotides) under fungal sp. RNAcentral's name for it is "partial internal transcribed spacer region". The record is from RNAcentral. Lineage: Eukaryota; Fungi.